AAUUGUACUUUUUCUCCUCUCCUUAUUAUUUCAACCAACAGUCUAGAGAUUAUAGAAAAGAAUGGCUUCAAAACGACUAAAAUCUUUAUUUUGUGGUUGUUUUCCACGACUUCGACGAAAGAGAAAAAACAAGAUUUCCAUUGAAGAACGCGUAAUCGAAGAGCAGAAGAGCAAUGCGGAGUCUGAGAAACAUCUUCAGAUUCCCAUUGAAGAACCUGUCGUAGAACAGAAGAACAAUGAGGAAUCUGAGAAACAACUUCAG
Long non-coding RNA from Xenopus laevis (African clawed frog), 262 nucleotides. RefSeq lists it as uncharacterized. Lineage: Eukaryota; Metazoa; Chordata; Amphibia; Anura; Pipidae. The record is from RefSeq and is a predicted model, not a curated record. The transcript has 3 exons.